AUUGAACGCUGGCGGCAUGCCUUACACAUGCAAGUCGAACGGUAACAGGUCUUCGGAUGCUGACGAGUGGCGAACGGGUGAGUAAUACAUUGGAACGUGCCUAGUAGUGGGGGAUAACUACUCGAAAGAGUGGCUAAUACCGCAUGAGAUCUACGGAUGAAAGCAGGGGAUCGCAAGACCUUGUGCUACUAGAGCGGCCGAUGGCAGAUUAGGUAGUUGGUGGGACAAAAGCUUACCAAGCCGACGAUCUGUAGCUGGUCUGAGAGGACGAUCAGCCACACUGGGACUGAGACACGGCCCAGACUCCUACGGGAGGCAGCAGUGGGGAAUUUUGGACAAUGGGCGAAAGCCUGAUCCAGCAAUGCCGCGUGCAGGAUGAAGGCCUUCGGGUUGUAAACUGCUUUUGUACGGAACGAAAAGCCCCGGGUUAAUACCCUGGGGUCAUGACGGUACCGUAAGAAUAAGCACCGGCUAACUACGUGCCAGCCGCCGCGGUAA
This 498-nucleotide ribosomal RNA is filed under the name uncultured bacterium. Its description in RNAcentral is "partial 16S ribosomal RNA". It matches the Rfam family "Bacterial small subunit ribosomal RNA", at positions 30 to 523 of the family's 1533-position model. The record is from RNAcentral.